UUNUUNCUUUGGCAACAUACAUGCUAAACUUGGAAAGAUUCAGAGAAUGUGUGCAUGGCCCCUGGGUGUGGAUGACAGAAACCGAAGACGCAUUCCAUACUUUG
This 104-nucleotide small nuclear RNA is filed under the name Neotoma lepida (desert woodrat). The record is from RNAcentral. Lineage: Eukaryota; Metazoa; Chordata; Mammalia; Rodentia; Cricetidae.